UGAGGAAUAUUGGUCAAUGGGCGGGAGCCUGAACCAGCCAAGUAGCGUGCAGGAUGACGGCCCUAUGGGUUGUAAACUGCUUUUAUGUGGGGAUAAAGUGCGUGACGUGUCAUGCAUUGCAGGUACCACAUGAAUAAGGACCGGCUAAUUCCGUGCCAGCAGCCGCGGUAAUACGGAAGGUCCGGGCGUUAUCCGGAUUUAUUGGGUUUAAAGGGAGCGUAGGCUGUCUAUUAAGCGUGUUGUGAAAUUUACCGGCUCAACCGGUGGCUUGCAGCGCGAACUGGUCGACUUGAGUAUGCAGGAAGUAGGCGGAAUUCAUGGUGUAGCGGUGAAAUGCUUAGAUAUCAUGACGAACUCCGAUUGCGCAGGCAGCUUACUGUAGCAUAACUGACGCUGAUGCUCGAAAGUGCGGGUAUCAAACAGG
Molecule: ribosomal RNA, 424 nt
Filed under: Verrucomicrobiota bacterium
Lineage: Bacteria; Pseudomonadati; Verrucomicrobiota
Description: Verrucomicrobia bacterium partial 16S ribosomal RNA
Rfam family: Bacterial small subunit ribosomal RNA
Source: RNAcentral